Onychomys torridus (southern grasshopper mouse) is the source of this 104-nucleotide small nuclear RNA. The record is from RefSeq and is a predicted model, not a curated record. Lineage: Eukaryota; Metazoa; Chordata; Mammalia; Rodentia; Cricetidae.
GUGCUCACUUUGGUAGCACACAUAGUAAAAUUGGAAAAAUACAAAGAUUAGCCUGGCCCCUGCACAAAGAUGACACGUGUAUUAGUGGAAUGUUCCAUAUUUUU